This 1728-nucleotide long non-coding RNA is filed under the name Homo sapiens (human). RNAcentral's name for it is "PREDICTED lncRNA (TCONS_00099895)". The record is from RNAcentral. Lineage: Eukaryota; Metazoa; Chordata; Mammalia; Primates; Hominidae.
GGGAGCCCUGGGGGACAGACAGAAGGACCAUCGAAGGAGAAACCCUGCUGGCCUCGGGACCUGGAGGAAAGAACCAGGGCCCGUGCUCCUUGGGCCAGGAUCCGGCGAUUGGACGGAACCUCUCGGAUUCCCCAGUGCUGUGAAAUCCACUUGGGGCCAUCACACCCUUCAUUGCUGUGCUCCCUGGCAGAACUCGAAUGCAGCGUGAGCUGGGCACUUUUCCCAGGGUUUGCUCUAGGUCUGGGUCUCCCAUCAGCUCCCCCGGAGCAGAGCCUGAGGCAAGGAUUCUUGUUCGGGGGCAUCUUCCUCUCAGCACCGUGCUUUGGGAAUCGAGUGAUGGUGCUGAGUGAACCCCUGAGUGAACAUCUGUGGCUUCCUCCCACCUCGUCUCUGGAUGCACUCCUGUUCGAAUGAUGUCUUAGAGGAUAAAAAUGAGCGGGCAGAUGAAGAGAUACUCAGGGUGAGGUUUGGAAGGUGCACCAGGCCCACCCCAUGGAUGUGGCUCAGAGAGCCUGGGAAACGUGAGGUCUGUGACCUGGAUCAGGCCCAGAGAGACCUGAGCAGGAGGCGUGUGAAGCCCCUGCGCCUGUGCGAGGAGGGAAGCUGUUUCAGGGAAUUUGCCUUUCUUUCCCUGUAGUUUCAGACUAGCUGAUAAAUUACCUAAAAUGUUACCACAAGAUGCACAAUGUAACCAUCACUCAUUAUCUUCAUGUUCCUGGAAUUUUUUUUUUUUUUUUGAGAUAGAGUGUAGCCUCAUGGCAGCCUCAACCUCCUGGGCUCAAGUUGUCAGAGGCGUGUGAACCAGAGCAACUCCAUCUUGAAUGGGGCUGCGUAAAAUGAAGCUGAGACCUGUGGGGCUGCAUUCCCAGACCGCUGUGGCAUUCUGAGUCACAGGGUGAGACAGGAGGUCAGCACAAGAUACAGGUCAUAAAGACCUUGCUGAUAAAACAGGUUGCAGCAAAGGAGCCGUCCAAAUCCCACCAAAACCAAGAUGGUGACAAGAGUGACCUCUGGCCGUCCUCACUGCCACACUCCCACCAGCCGUGACAGUUUACAGAUGCCAUGGCAACCUCAGGAAGUCACCAUAUAUGGUCUAAAAAGGGGAGGUAUGAAUAAUCCACCCCUUGUUUAGCAUAUCAUCAAGAAAUAACCACAAAAACGGAGAACCAGCAGUCCUCGGGGCUGCUUUGUCUAUGGAGUAGCCAUUCUUUUUUUUUUUUUCGAGAUGGAGUCUCGCUCUGUUGCCUGGGCUGGAGUGCGGUGGCAUGAUCUUGGCUCACUGCAACCUCUGCCUCCUGGGUUUAAGUGAUUCUCCUGCCUCAGCCGAGCUGAGUAGCUGGGCUUACAGGCACCCACCACCAUGCCCGGCUAAUUUUUUGUAUUUUUAGUAAAGCCAGGGUUUCAUUAUACUAGCCAGGCUGGUCUCGAACUCCUGACCUCAUGACCUGCCUGCCUCAGCUUCCCAAAGUACUGGGAUUACCGGUGUGAACCACCGUGCCCAGCCAGAGUAGCCAUUCUUUACUCCUUUACUUUCCUAAUAAACUUCCUUUCACUUUACUCUGUGAACUUGCCCUGAAUUCUUUCUUGUGAGAGAUCCAAGAACCCUCUCUUGGGGUCUGGAUUGGCACCCCUUUCCUGUAACAAAGCCAUUCUCCCACCUUAGCCUCCCAAAUAGCUAAGACCACGGGUGUGUGCCACCGUGCCUGGCUAAUUUUUAAUUUUUUUUUU